CAAUCAAUCCCGAAGCAGAUCUUGCAUGUUGCUGAUCAAAGGCCGCAUCAAAGUAGGCUGAUGUGCUCCUUCUUCUCUCUUCAAUUCUCAGACCACCAUUUCCAGCCAAGAUGAGUUUCUUCUCCUCAAUUCCUCUUAGUUUGGAGAUAAAAUCUAAAAUUUUAAUAGAAAUGUCCCUGCUUGUUGAUUGUCUGUUUUCAUAAACAAAUUUGUUCCUGCUUGUCCAGAUGAUCCAAAGCCCAUAACAGAAAAGUCGGCACUGUUCAUUUGACCCGCGACAAAAAACCCAUGACAUCCACGAAAAAUAUGGUUACAGUCCUCCUCUUCAAGGUUGCAUCGGGGACGUCGAGCAUCAGCAACUGUUUGUUUGAUCUUCAGAUUAGCAAAAUUAGGAAUGUAAUUCCAAGAGAUUCCCCAUAUUGUAAUUUUGAUUUUUGGGGGAAUUUGUAAAUUCCAUAAUUUUUAUUAAAAAGCUUUAGUCUCGGUUUGUUAAUUAAUAGGAUUUUGAGUACCCUCCUGUAAUAGUUUGUAGGCGCUUCGAACCGAAAAAUUGCCAAAAGGUUCUCCUCUCCAGACUUGAAAAUCUUCAUUUGCUGACGUUGCCAAUGGAAUCUGCAAGAUCUUUUUAGCAACUUCCGCAUUAAAGAGGUCCUCCCAAACAGAAAUACGAUCCCCUUUGCCAACCCUCCAGCAAAGUCCUUCUUCCAGAAUACCUUUUGCCGACCAGAUACUCUUCCAGGUAAGCGAAGGUAAAUUUCCUAAUUGAGCUAUUAGAAAACACACAUUCGGAUAGUAUUUAGCUUUCAAUCCUCGGGCUAACAAAGAAUCUGGAAAAUUAAUAAGACGCCAACCCUGUUUAGCUAAUAAUGCAAUAUUAAAUUUAUCAAGUUUUCUAAAACCAAGGCCACCUGCUUCUUUCAAGACACACACAUCCUUCCACGCACACCAAUGAAUCCCCUUCUUUCCCCGAUUUUUCCCCCACCAGAAUCUGGCUAUUAUACCUUCCAACUCGUUACAUAGGGACUUAGGAAGUAGAAAACACGCCAUAGAAUAGGUUGGAAUGGACUAUAAUACUGCCUUAAUGAAAACCUCUUUUCCACCUUGAGAAAGGUACUUAACACUCCAAUUGUCAAUUCUUUGUUUUAAUCUGUCCUUCAGACUUUGAAAAACUAUUUUCUUUCCUCUACCCACUAAAUUUGGAAGUCCUAAAUACCUUUCUGGAUUAUUCGAGCUACGAACACCAAGCAUCCGAACAAUUACCUUUUUUCUUCCUCUCGCGUAUUUGUACUGAAAAAAAUUGUGGAUUUGUUAUAAUUAACGCAUUGACCCAAACUUAGCUCAUAUUCCUUUAAAUACUCUUCAACGCAGUAGCUCCUCUCUCUGUGACUUCUCCAAACAGAAUGCAAUCAUCCGCAAAUAACAAAUGUGAAAUUUGCGGACCAUUUCUACUAACCUUCACUCCUCGAAUUAAAUUUCCUUCUGUUGCUUGCCUUAGAAGACUAGAAAGUCCUUUUCCACAAAAUAGAAAUAAAAAAGGGCUCAAAGGAGCUCCUUGUCUAAGGCCUCUAGACGGGAAAAAUCUUUCUCCAAUGACACCAUUAAGAACCACUGAAUAUGAUACUGUUGAAAUACAUUUCAUCAACAUGUCAACCCACUCUGAAUCAAACCCUAAUUUCUUCAUUAGUUUUUCAAGACAAUGUUGUUGUUAUUAUGUAGUGUGCUACUAAUUAUGCAUUUGGAUAAUAUUUAAUUUCUAGUAUUAAUUAUGGUUUGGAAGCUAAUUUAUA
Molecule: long non-coding RNA, 1787 nt
Organism: Gossypium raimondii (Peruvian cotton)
Lineage: Eukaryota; Viridiplantae; Streptophyta; Magnoliopsida; Malvales; Malvaceae
Exons: 3
Source: RefSeq, a predicted model, not a curated record